This 497-nucleotide ribosomal RNA is filed under the name uncultured bacterium. RNAcentral's name for it is "partial 16S ribosomal RNA". It matches the Rfam family "Bacterial small subunit ribosomal RNA", at positions 28 to 507 of the family's 1533-position model. The record is from RNAcentral.
GAUGAACGCUGGCGGCGUGCCUAAUACAUGCAAGUCGAGCGAACAGACGAGGAGCUUGCUCCUCUGACGUUAGCGGCGGACGGGUGAGUAACACGUGGAUAACCUACCUAUAAGACUGGGAUAACUUCGGGAAACCGGAGCUAAUACCGGAUAAUAUAUUGAACCGCAUGGUUCAAUAGUGAAAGACGGUUUUGCUGUCACUUAUAGAUGGAUCCGCGCCGCAUUAGCUAGUUGGUAAGGUAACGGCUUACCAAGGCAACGAUGCGUAGCCGACCUGAGAGGGUGAUCGGCCACACUGGAACUGCGACACGGUCCAGACUCCUACGGGAGGGAGCAGUAGGGAAUCGUACGCAAUGGGCGCAAGGCUGACGGAGCAACGCCGCGUGAGGGAUGAUGGUUUUAGGAUCGUAAAACGCUGUUAUUAGGGAAGAACAAAUGUGUAAGUAACUAUGCACGUCUUGACGGAACCAAAUCAGAAAGCUACGGCUAACUACGUG